CUUCACCGAGCCCAGCCACAGCGGCCGGUCGCGCUGCUGACCGUAGGUGGCGAUGAGCGACUGGGCCUC
Molecule: non-coding RNA, 69 nt
Organism: Micromonospora echinofusca
Lineage: Bacteria; Bacillati; Actinomycetota; Actinomycetes; Micromonosporales; Micromonosporaceae
Rfam family: ASpks TB sRNA
Source: Rfam